RNAcentral lists this ribosomal RNA (267 nucleotides) under uncultured bacterium. Its description in RNAcentral is "partial 16S ribosomal RNA". The record is from RNAcentral.
CUGCUGCCUCCCGUAGGAGUCUGGUCCGUGUCUCAGUACCAGUGUGGGGGACCUUCCUCUCAGAACCCCUACGCAUCGUCGCCUCGGUGGGCCGUUACCCCACCGACUAGCUAAUGCGCCGCAUGGCCAUCCGCAGCCGAUAAAUCUUUAAACAUCGGGAGAUGCCCUCCCAACGUUGUUACGCGGUAUUAGACGGAAUUUCUUCCGCUUAUCCCCCUGCUGCGGGCAGGUUCCAUACGUGUUACUCACCCGUGCGCCGGUCGCCGG